GGUGGCUCCUCUCUCCAUAAGUGCUUACAUGACUGCGGCAAGAAAAGACAGCACCAGAGAGUCUGCACCAACAGAGAAAUGCCUGAGCCAAGACCAGAGAUUUCUGCUCACAACCCACUGCUCGAAACUAUCUCAUGACCCUGUCAAACGGCAAGGACCAAAAAGCAUGGCCGCUCCCUUCUUACUGGCCAUUAGGACACAAGGUCCGUGAGGACAUGAUUCUUUUUCUUUUUCUUUUGUCUUUUUUGCCAUUUCUUAGGCUGCUCCCACAGCAUAUGGAGAUUCCCAGGCUCGGGGUCGAGUCGGAGCUGUAGCCACCAGCCUACACCAGAGCCACAGCAACGCGGGAUCCGAGCCACGUCUGCAACCUACACCACAGCUCACGGCAACGCCGGAUCCUUAACCCACUGAGCAAGGCCAGGGAUGGAACUGGAUUCAUUAACCCCUGAGCCAUGACGGGAACUCCGAGGACGUGGUUCUGACGCCUUGUCCACGACUACACCCUUCGUUUAGAAGAGGACCUGGGCACAUAACACUCAUUCAAUUCAAUGAAUGAAUGCAGUGCCAGCGAGAAACCCACACGUCCACCUUGGGAGGAGAGCGAGCCCCAGGGCUGUAAGGCUGAGGGUGCUGGGCAAGAGCUCUGCAGACCAGAGCCUCAGAGCUGGCUGUGCUUAAGAAAGGACACGUGCUCUGGGUCCUCUCAGGGAAGACGACGACAUCCGGCUGGAACACCAGACCAACAGCCCAGCUGGCUUACACCAUAAACCUCCGAAGCCAAGCACCAAAUCAACCAAGGGAAUCACCGCCACCACUGCCCGGCUCCUGGAAGGAGCUGCAACAGCCACAGGAGCAUCUGCUUCUUCACGGCAGUCAGGCCCCCAGCGUAUCCCGGGGACCCGGGGAAUCACCGCCACCACUGCCCGGCUCCUGGAAGGAGCUGCAACAGCCACAGGAGCAUCUGCUUCUUCACGGCAGUCAGGCCCCCAGCGUAUCCCGGGGACCCGGGGAAAGGGAAGGAAAUGCACACAGACUGAGGCUCUGCUGUUGGCCCGGCUGGCAGGUGCUUUUUCCUUCAUCAGUCCCUCUCUCCCCACAAAGACCCUGAGUUGAGGGUUACCUCCAGUGCUUAGAGAGAGCGGAGACUUAAGAGUGGUUCAGGAACCAACCCAGAAACACGGAUGCUUUACAAGCUAGAAAGAGAUACAACACAACGUCAUCCGGCCUGGCUGUGCAGAGAUCACACACAGGUCAGGCCUGCCUGACAAGCUAAGUGACAGCCACAGCCCUGCUGGCAACGGGGUCUUCACAAGCCUCCGUUAUCUCUUCAAGCCCUAAUGUCCCUAUCUGUAAAGGGAAGACAGCAUUUGACCCCAUUCCCGAUUAUACCUGAAGCUCUCACAGGGACACAUCUGAGUCACUGUCGCAGAGAAGAGGGUGUUACAAGACAACCCACAGCCUCCAAAGGCUUUCGGCAGUCUAUCGAAUGGGUCAGCCAGGGCUACUGGUA
RNAcentral lists this long non-coding RNA (1510 nucleotides) under Sus scrofa (pig). Its description in RNAcentral is "lncRNA (ENSSSCG00070026552.1)". Lineage: Eukaryota; Metazoa; Chordata; Mammalia; Artiodactyla; Suidae. The record is from RNAcentral.